This 708-nucleotide unclassified non-coding RNA is filed under the name Hevea brasiliensis (rubber tree). Lineage: Eukaryota; Viridiplantae; Streptophyta; Magnoliopsida; Malpighiales; Euphorbiaceae. The record is from RNAcentral.
CCUUCAUCCAAGCUGAUUAGGAAUUCCUCUGCCACUGGUUCAUGGAAUAUCCUGGAGGAAAUACGAAAAGUGAGAUCUAAGGCAACUGAAGAGAUGUUAAGGACUCCAUCGUCAAUAAUUGAUUGGUCUACAUUAGCUUCAGAUAGCAAAAGGAGCCCUUAUUCGUUGCUAUCUGAUAAAGCAGAAUCUGUUUCACAAAGGGCACAAGAUGGAUUGCUGACUGAAUCUUCUCCACCAGAUAUAGCUUCCUCAAUUCCCGAACAAAGUCAGGGUCCGGGAGCUAUACAGAUCAUUGAAGGAGCUGAAGGCUUAUGUGAUGGCACAAAAGGGAGAUUAAACCCUGGACAAAGACUUCAACCUUCACAAGAAAUGAAGAAAUGAGGACUGCACCACCAUGUGAUGAUGAUGUUGAUGACUGCAAGGAUGUUGAUGGGGUUUGCAAACCUUUAGACUAUACUGUGGGAGGAGAUACUAAAGAUUCAACGUUACAUGAAACAAAUUGUUCAACCAUGGCUGAAGUUGCCGAAAGGAAUGUUGCAGUUGCAGUUGCUGCAAAUGGUUUCCCUCCUUCAGGAUCUAGUUUGACUGCAAGUCUGCAAGGAGAACAUAAUUCUACGCCAUCCGAUGAGCAGCACCAUACUGUUGAUUCUGCCUAUGACAACUUAACAAGAAGUGCUCAUGUUGGUGAGACGUGUGAGCAAUUAAGUG